UACGUAGGGUCCGAGCGUUGUCCGGAAUUAUUGGGCGUAAAGAGCUCGUAGGCGGCAUGUCGCGUCUGCUGUGAAAGACCGGGGCUUAACUCCGGUUCUGCAGUGGAUACGGGCAUGCUAGAGGUAGGUAGGGGAGACUGGAAUUCCUGGUGUAGCGGUGAAACGCGCAGAUAUCAGGAGGAACACCGGUGGCGAAGGCGGGUCUCUGGGCCUUACCUGACGCUGAGGAGCGAAAGCAUGGGGAGCGAAC
Molecule: ribosomal RNA, 250 nt
Filed under: uncultured bacterium
Lineage: Bacteria
Description: partial 16S ribosomal RNA
Rfam family: Bacterial small subunit ribosomal RNA
Source: RNAcentral